Non-coding RNA from Chrysemys picta bellii (western painted turtle), 6517 nucleotides. The record is from RefSeq and is a predicted model, not a curated record. NCBI's taxonomy places the organism in Eukaryota, Metazoa, Chordata, Testudines, Emydidae.
CCUUCUCCUUCCGGAAGUGAUGUUAGCUCCCCCUCACCAGCGGCGGCGGCUCUAGACCCGGGCGCGGCGGGUGACGGAGGCGGCGGCCCGAGGAGCGGGCGGGAUCAUGGCGGACGGCGUGGACCACAUAGACAUCUACGCCGAUGUGGGCGAGGAGUUCAACCAGGAAGCUGAAUAUGGUGGACAUGAUCAAAUAGAUUUGUAUGAUGAUGUCAUCUCUCCAUCUGCAAAUAAUGGCGAUGCCCCAGAGGACCGUGAUUAUAUGGACUCUCUCCCACCAUCAGUUGGAGAUGACGUAGGUAAAGGAGCAGCACCAAAUGUUGUCUAUACAUAUACUGGAAAGAGAAUUGCAUUGUACAUUGGAAAUCUUACUUGGUGGACAACAGAUGAAGACUUAACUGAAGCAGUGCAUUCACUGGGAGUAAAUGAUAUUUUGGAGAUAAAAUUUUUUGAAAACCGUGCUAAUGGCCAGUCAAAGGGGUUUGCCCUUGUAGGUGUGGGAUCUGAAGCAUCCUCCAAAAAGUUGAUGGAUCUCUUGCCUAAAAGAGAAUUGCAUGGGCAAAAUCCUGUUGUAACUCCAUGCAAUAAGCAGUUCCUGAGUCAGUUUGAAAUGCAGUCAAGGAAAACUACACAAUCAGGCCAGAUGUCUGGAGAAGGUAAAGCUGGUCCUCCAGGAGGUGGCUCACGUGCAGCGUUUCCACCAAAUAACAGAGGACGAGGCCGUUUUCCAGGUGGCAUUCCAGGUGGGGACAGAUUCCCUGGACCUGCAGGACCAGGAGGACCACCACCUCCUUUCCCUGCUGGACAAACUCCACCACGUCCACCUCUAGGUCCUCCUGGUCCCCCAGGCCCACCAGGUCCUCCACCUCCUGGUCAAGUUCUUCCACCUCCAUUAGCUGGGCCUCCUAAUCGUGGUGACCGUCCACCACCACCAGUUCUGUUUCCUGGACAACCCUUUGGUCAGCCUCCGCUGGGUCCACUUCCUCCUGGUCCUCCACCUCCAGUUCCAGGCUAUGGCCCCCCUCCAGGUCCACCACCACCACAGCAAGGUCCACCUCCGCCUCCCGGUCCUUUUCCCCCUCGUCCGCCUGGUCCACUUGGGCCUCCCCUGACACUUGCUCCUCCUCCACAUCUUCCCGGGCCACCUCCAGGUGCUCCCCCACCUGCUCCACACGUGAAUCCAGCUUUCUUCCCCCCACCAGCCAAUAGUGGCAUACCUACUUCAGACAGUCGUGGUCCACCACCAACAGAUCCAUAUGGCCGACCUCCGCCUUAUGACAGGGGUGACUAUGGUCCACCUGGCAGGCGUUUCACUGGAAAUAACAUGUCCAUAAGAGAACAAUUACAUAUUCCAUUGUAUUGGAGGCAUACGAAAAAUAAUACUCAAAACUCAGGGAGAGAAAUGGAUGCGGCAAGAACACCUUUAAGUGAAGCAGAGUUUGAAGAAAUCAUGAAUAGAAAUAGGGCCAUCUCAAGCAGUGCCAUUUCAAGAGCUGUGUCAGAUGCCAGUGCUGGGGACUAUGGAAGUGCUAUAGAGACCUUAGUAACUGCUAUUUCCUUAAUUAAACAAUCCAAAGUAUCUGCUGAUGAUCGUUGUAAAGUACUUAUUAGCUCUCUGCAGGAUUGCCUUCAUGGAAUUGAGUCUAAGUCUUACGGUUCUGGAUCAAGAAGACGUGAACGGUCAAGAGAGAGGGACCACAGCAGGUCAAGAGAAAAAAGCAGGCGUCACAAGUCCCGUAGCAGAGAUCGCCAUGAUGACUAUUACCGGGAAAGAAGCCGUGAACGAGAGAGACAUCGUGAUCGUGACAGAGAUCGUGAUAGAGAACGUGACAGAGAACGAGAGUAUCGCCAUCGUUAGAGAAGAAUCUGAAGAGAACUUUGAAAAAGAGGGGACUCAGUGCAGAAACGGAGGGCUUCAAGACGGAUGAUGGGACUCUACUUCCUUUUAAAGUGGUGUCACUCAGUCUCCCAGCUGCUCCAUGGAGGUGUGGGGAAGAAUACUUGUGUUCCUCUGUCUACCUCCCCACAGAGCCUCUCAGGGCUGUUGAUAUCAGAAGGGAACAUGCGGUGUUUGAAGCAGUAUCGCAGUUUGGACUUCUCCACUCCACAGGACACAGGGAAACUGCAGAGGGCAAAGGCCUCAGUCUGCAAAAGGGAAGAAAAGUGGAAAAUUAAUCAAGGACCCCAAAUUGGGUUGAUCUCUGGUUGAAAUGAUUAAACAGGAUGAGAGCAUGGACACUCACCAGGACCCCUGCUCUUACAAAAUGAAUCCAGCCCUGUGUCUAGAGCACACAAUUCAAGUGAGGUCUGCAAUUCACAUUGUUUCUUGCAAGGUAAAUGAAGAUGUGGUUUCUGGCAGAUCACUGGAAAUUUUUAAAUCAAGAUUAAAAAAAAACAUUUAAAGAGAUGCUUUAGUGCAAGCACAACUAUUGGACCUGAUGCAAGAAUUAUAUAAGAAAGUCCAAUGGCCUAUGUUCUGCAAGAAGGCACACUGCACUAUCACAAUGGUCCCCUUUUGGCCUUAAAAAUCUAUGAAUCAGCUUGGCUUUGCAAAAGCUCUCAAUCGUCCAUCCAAACUUUGCUAUUGAAAAAGUAGAUGGGUCUUACAUUUUCUAAGGCAUUUGCACAGCAUGAUAAAUUGUUUAUUUCUCACAUAUAUUUUGGCUACAUAGAAGUUACCUGAAAACAUAGCUGGGGGAUUUUUAUUAUUAUUUUUUAGGAACUCGUGUUGUGUUCUGUGCUGUACAAGAAUCAGCUGCUGGGACAGUCUGCCGAGGAGUGUUAACCGUGUGGGAAACAGACACAGAACAAUACUCACUGGGGGAAGAUAAUUUUGGCUGAGACACUUUGGACAGCUUGGAGGGAUGGUAUCGGUGAUAAAGGUAUCAGAGUGGCAACAGAGGGGUGGUAAGAGUACCUGAGGUGGGAGAUCAGAUUGGGAACAAGUUUUGACUGUUGGGAUGGAAAGGAAAAGUCAGAUGUCCAAAAUGGGGAGAAGUGUCAUGAUUUAAUGACAGCCUGGAGGGGUGGUGAGGAGUUGUCAGAGAAGGCACAGGAUGUAAACCUGAGAGAGGAGGCGGAUGGUUGAGGGAGGAAGAGUGGAGGGCUGAGGAGGAAAAUUGAGAGAUGAGGCGGAUGGUUGAGGGAGGAAGAGUGGAGGGCUGAGGAGGAAAAUUGAGCUCUGUUUUGAUCAGGUUGAGUUGGAGCUGGCACUGAGCCAUAGAAAUUCCCCCUACCUCCUGCUUAUACACAGCAUGGUGUGUGCCAGAUUAGAAAAAAAAGCUCCAUUAAACAGGUGUGUUUAUAUUGGUGCAGCAAAGGGUGAGCACACCCAGACCUCCAGAAUCUGCCCAAAGACGUUUUUUCCACUACACUUACAGAAACUCUCUGCUGCUGUUGGAGUAAAGCUAAAGAAUAGUUGAAGACUGUUUCCAAACAUAGUUCUUCCCUUCACCCAUUGAUGGGAACUUGCUGCCAUUUUUUUUGCUGGUCCUGUUCAUCACUUCUGAGCAGGAAAUACCCCCUUUCUGACCCCAAUCAGCCACUGGAGACCCACUCCCACACCUACCCACCCCAUGUCAGAGAAGAGCCAUCUACUUUAAGAAACAAAGGGGACUCAAUUCUCAACCAGCCAUCAACACAGAAGGGACAGGCUGCAGGACAUCACCCCUACCUACCAGAAUUGCUGCCAUCAGAGGCCACAGGACAGCCACCUGCAUCAUUGCUACUUCUGUCAGGAAGAGCUGCCAGUAUCAGUGGUAGCAGCCUGGGUUUACUACACUGCCAACAUGAAGGUUUUGCUAAUCCUGGGGCUUUUCCUCCUGCCCGUGGCUGCUCAUGGGAAGAUCUACGGAAGGUGUGAGCUGGCAAGAGCAAUGAAAAGGCUUGGGCUGGAUGGAUACUGGGGCUACAGCCUGGGACACUGUAAGUCUGCUGCCUUGGAGGAGAUGUCCAUGUGAUUCAGAGGGUAGGCAGGUGAUUUACCCAUUGAAUUAAUCCUAGACAUUAGAGAUGGAAAAACCUCCUAGGUUAUCUAGUCUGUCCUUGGCACAGGCUGGUUCCCUGCAGUGUAUUGCCUACAGCUGUGCUCAGUCUUGUUUAAAAUGUCCCAAGCAAUGGGAAUAUCACUUCUUCCCUGAAACCCUCCCACAGUUAAACAGCUUGCACUGUCAGGAACCUUUUCCUGACACCAGUCUGAGAGACCUUCCCCCAAUUCCAUCGCAUUAUUCCUAGUUAUAGCCUUUGUACAAUUCCAUGUUUGAUGUCUGCACCCCUCACGCUCUGCUCUUUGAGCCUCACUGUAGCUGAGCAGGGAGACAGUGCUGGAUUUGGGAUGCAGAGCACAGCACAAGGCCUGGGUGGGAGGAUCACCAGCAGCAUCUCAAAACCCCCCAAUUCAAACUUAUGUGAUUAAAUUCGAGACGAUGGGCUGAGGGAGAGGGAUCCUUGGAGAGCCUGGAUGGAGAAUAAGGGGUGGGGCAGUUUAGAAGUGAGGAAGAGAGGGGGAAUCAGGACUCAUAGAAGAGCACAUAAGACGAGUGGGCCCCACGGGCGAGAGAAGGGUGAGGGCCUUUCUUCAUUUGUUAGCAGUGAUAGGAAAUUAUUAUUCAACUAGUUUGUUUUUAAGGUUUGUUUACCUGUGUUCUGAGCCACAAUCCAGAGAGUUAAACACACAUGAUGUUUAUGCAGCCCUGAAUAUCUCAAAUCAAAGACUCCUUCCUUCUAACCUGACUAAUUCAGAUCCACUUGCUGUAAAUGAGGAAAGAAUAAGAGUGCUCUGGUUAAAGUUUACCAUCAUUGCUAAUACUUAUGCAGCACCAUCUAUGGAAACAAAGGUGACGGCACUAGCAUAGAUAAAACUUCAGCAGGUGCCGUGGUUUAGACCUAUUUUCAACAGGAAUGGACAAAGCAGUAUUAAAAUGCCAAUGGCUACCUGGAGCCCUCUUUACAGUAGGUCUUUCACCAUUGAUCCUCCCCCUGUUGGAAACAGCAGGAAAGAAAUGUUCCAUCUCACUUAACUGCAUUUUAUGAGUUCAUUACACGCAGAGUCAUUCCCUGCCAGAGAAAUGAUGAUGUUUCCCCAUGUCUUUCCUUAGUAAUAUUUAUUGGUUUUGAUUUGCAUGUUGUUAAUAUUUUCUUUAGAAAGGUGUUUCUGUCUCUGUAGCAUUUUACCCCAAAACACUGGUGUUUCCUUCAAAGAUGUAGGCCCCAUGCAGUGUUCAGAUGACAAUCAAAAGUUUUAUAUAUAGAAUGAUUUUUCUUACACUUCAUAUUUAAUAAGGAUUGUGACUCUCAUAAGAAUAAAAGGAAGAAAAGCUGGCUGUGUGUACUUUGUAUUAAAUCAUUUGCAUAAUCUACAAACAGGUGAUAAGGGGUGUUUAGAUCCAUAUUUCUGUAAAAUAUCAAGCUAUGAGGAGUUUUUAUCAGCAGAGAAAAUACAUCAAUCUGUGUGUGGUUAUUUUUUUAAAACGGAACCUUCACAAGGGUGUGCACAGCAAGAUACGAGAGCGACUUUAACACAGGUGCCACGCAUUAUAGCUAACCUUCCAGAAGCACUGACUAUGGGAUUUUUCAAAUCAACAGCCGCUGUUGGUGUAAUGAUGGCAAGACUCCAAGAGCCAAGAACGCAUGUGGAAUCCAGUGUCGUGGUAGGGGCAAAGUAAUCUGCUUGACACCAUCACAUUGUUCACUCUGUGUGUUACAUCCCUUUCUCCCACGGUGCAUCUGUCUCUCUAUUAUAUUGUAAGCUCUUCAAAACAAGGACUAUCUGCUACUCUGCUUGCACCACAGGCCCCAUUCUUGGUGGGUCCUUAGAUACCACAGUAAUAAAUGUGAUUGAUUAAUACAGAAAUUAGUUUUUAUUAUUAUUAAUCAGUUUUAAGAUGACUGAUUCAAAAAAAUGAAGAGGAAAAUGUUGAUUUUUUUUCCCCUCCCACUAUAUUUACUACUGUAUUUCUUUUUUUUCCUUACUGACAGCAGACAUUACAGCGGGUGUAAACUGUGCAAAGAGAAUUGUUCGCAUUUCCAAUGGCAUGAGUGCAUGGGUGGCGUGGAAAAAGUACUGCGGAGGAUGAGAUGUCUCCCGGUGGAUCAAGGGCUGCAAGCUGUAAAAUGUUGGGAUUUAUACCAGCUUGGUCCUCUUGCAAAUAAGCAGCUUUUCACAUAGAGCAAAAUGUUCCCUCUGCCUCUUCCCUUUUACAAUUAAUCAUGUUCAAAAUAAAACAAACUCAGGAGAAAGGUUUGCAGGGCAACUGACUAGUGAAAUGCAAAUAUUUUACUCCUUGCUGGUAAGACUGUGGAUCUUUCCAUGUAACGAGCUAAAGUAACUUAUUUUGUGUUAUACAAAGUUCAAAAGAUAUAUGAUUACCUCUAUAUUAUAUAUACACAUCCAGAUAAGUCAGAUCUGUUUUUCCUUUAUGAGAUCCUGCUACUAUUUUGUUGUGCUAAUUAGUAGUAGUAUGUCAUCUUGCUUGAGAGCUCACAUUCAUUACAAUCAAUAAAAUUACUUACUUUGCAC